Ictalurus punctatus (channel catfish) is the source of this 5392-nucleotide long non-coding RNA. The record is from Ensembl. Lineage: Eukaryota; Metazoa; Chordata; Actinopteri; Siluriformes; Ictaluridae.
CUUUAAAAGAUUAAUGCUACCCCAACCUAGUUUAAAUCGUUCAACACUUUCUUAACCACUAGAUCAGAAGUGGUUAAGCCUAUAUUAAUGAUUUGUGGAGAGAAAAAUAUUAUCUAAAUAAUUUGGCUACCUCAGAUCUCGCUGAUCAGCCAAGACAUGUCUGGUAUGCCAAAUUUCACCUCUUUGUACCUGCACUGGAGCUAUGAAGCUAACCACCAAUUACUAUCAUGCAGCUGCAUGCCAAAAACAUUACACACUUGCCUCUAACAACAUAGUUUGUCUAAGUAAUAUCAUAAACAGUGUAAUAAAACAGAAUACGACUCUAUUAAAAAUGGUAAAUAUAUUUAUCACACGGAGUGAAUGCAUAUUCAAAAUGAUUAGCAUUACAGUUGUAAGAUAUGGAAUGUACAUAGGGGAAAUCCCUAAGACACUUAAAAUUAUGAAUGUAAUGAUUGAUGCUAGCAUUAACAUUAAUAUUGUAUUAUUCAUGAGGCUGAGAUAAAGCUUGGUGUAGGCAUACUCUCUGUCAAAGACGGUUCUUUCUCUGGAAUACUAACCUGACGGUACAAAGUGACAGCAUGUCAAGCAACAUCUGGACUGAGAUGUGGAUUGAGGUGACAAAUCCAAAAGAUUGGCUCAAUCGAUUCCUCUGACCAAUCUGUAGUGCAGGUGGUCCAAUGUUUCUUUAGUUCCCUACUCAUAAAUUCAGCUCCUAACACCAUGGUCAUUUUUUACAUUUUGUUUUUUAGUCUAAUCCGGACAUUUACAACCUUUCAUUAAAUGUGUAUAGAGACAUGACGUGAAGAACUCAAAGCUUGGAAGGGAGUAGGAAAAAUCGUUGUUAGUACUGUACAGUUAACUUGCUUUGCAAGUUAACUGUACAGUAACUGUACUGUAACUGUACAAGUCUGCCAACAAAGUUAGUACAAAACAGAAGGCGUAAUGUGUAAAUUAACCAAACCAUUUUCACAAUUUACUAGUUAGUUUAGAAGCAAUGGCAGAGUUGAAAAAGAUUUUCGUUUACAAGAUUUUAAAGAAAUUAUAAAAAAAAUUUUGUAAAUGUAUUUUCUUUUCUUUUUUUUUUUUUAAAGUAAUAAAUCAAAUGUCCAUUCCAAAUCAUUUUAUUACAAAAUACACACUUUAAACACACAGUAACAGGUUGGAGCUGUCGAUGGAUUUUUAAGUUAUCUGUUUGACCGCACCGUUGUGUUUUGGCCUAAUCAUCGCUGGAUGCCUUUACUGUUUUUUGUGAACUAUUUUGACCCUAAAUGGAAUGUAUUGUUUUUGUAAACAAUAAACCCACGACCCUGACCGUGUGCGGUUUGAAAGAUUGCUGAUACCUAAGCCUAGCCUACAUUGUUUUGCCCCCCAAGACAAAACCCUUGCUCUGUCCCUGUUUAGAAGUAAUAUAUACCUAGCACCAUUUUUCAUCAAAGGAAAAACCCCAAACAGAUUCUUUGAUGAUUUCAGCGUAAUGCACUUUUAAAUAUGUUAAUUAGUUGUCAUGAUCUAUCCACUAUAGUAGGCUCCUAGGCAAUAACUAAGCAUGCAAACUAAGCAGGCCAAUACUAGCCUAUAUUUGAGGUAAAUUCUCUUUAAAUUUCUCUUUCCUCCCAAGAAGCUGAAGUUUUCUGUGUGAAUAAGGUAAUCAGACAAACAGAAACUAGCUAGCUUCACGUUCAAAAGGAAGCCUCGUCACGUUUCGAGACUUUUUCUUCAAUGAGUUUGAUGUCUGAUUACACCCACAGGCAGCAGAUGUUGUUCCUCCGUUUUCCCUCUCAUGCAUUUCUUGUCGUCUUCUUUUUUUCAUCCCCCCCUCCUCUUGAAACCAGCCCCCUUUCUGGGUCCUGUCUUGUCCUGCUAUAUACAGUACGAAAGCUUCACAAAUCCCUCAUCUUUCCGUACGGACACGAGACUCCGUCCGUGGGAGACUCUUUUGGCGCGUCCUGAGAGAAAUCAUUUCCUCAUAGUUUAAUCUGAAAUGGGUUGUUUUCAGUCAGAUUUCCGUUCGUAGUUAAGGUCUGGACGGAUUUACUUGUUAAAAAAAGCUUCGAGAAGUUGCUACAAGUGGUAGCAUUGCUGUGCUGAGCUAUCGCUGGGCGAGCCGUUAGCGUCGCGCGCGCGCACGGACUGCGCGAGGCGUGCGGCGCGAGAUGUCUCACGAGCUGUCCGAUCUGAGGGAUUUAAAAAGUUUAAACUCGGAUUAUUAACGGAAUCUAACGGAAAUUUCGUCAAAAUGAACCGACGGCGUGGACGGAUAUUUUAAAGAGUAAAAGAGAGAGAGAGAGAGAAAUAUAUAUCUUUAUAUAUGUAUACAUAUAUCUCGAAAUUCUUGAGGUGAUCUUCACUUUGACGAGUUCUUAAGAGUGGAAACUUGCUCGUGGGAAUCAAUGCGGUUUCAUUCGAAAGGACGUGCGGUCCGAAACUCACCUAAACGUCAGCUCCUAUAUGUCGAAGAAGACCUUGAAGUGAAUCUGGAAGACACCUGAGAAGUUCAUAUUUCUUCUACAUAGCCAAAUCCUUAAUGCUAAACACACACACACACACACACACACACACACACACACACACACACACACACACACACACACUUUGCUGAAUUAGCACCUACACUGCUAAAUCAUAUUAGUGAAAGAUCAAACACAGUGUUAAAUGAACUAUGUCCUACUUUUGUCUGUUAUUAAAACACUGUAGGUUAUAAUUAAAGUAGCUGUAGGACUUAUUUCAACAUUAUAGGCGGUUUGGUUUAGCUUUGGGAAUUUUCCCACAUUAAUAUUCGGUAAGCAUCGCUCUAUUCCAAAUUUCAGUUGCAGGCUAAAACAAGAUAAGAGUUUGCUAGCCAGAUUUAUGCCCUAGCCUACCUGUUUAGCAAAUGCAGACAUCGACAUGCAAAGAAAACCCAAAAAGGUUCAACGUGUAAUACUUCUCAGAUGCAUCUUUUAUUAUUUACUUUCUCCGGCUUCUCGGCUAGCGUGUGUUUACCAUCCGACCCAUCAUAUUUGGCCACGACUGAAUGAGAGUUCGGCUUCAGGCGGGUGUUUCUCUUCACACAUCAUCUUCUAAGUAUGCCCGUUGUGUUUUGUUGAUUUUUCUAAUUGCUGGCUUGGAUGGAUUGUUCCUCUGCAGAAUGAGUAAAGGCUUUUUGUUUUGCACUUAUUUCCCAGCUGCUUGUAGAUUCCAGAGACAGCCAAAAGGAAGAGAGAGAGAGAGAAAGGAGAGAUUGAGGAAGAGAAAGAGAGAGAGGCAUUGGGUCAGAGGCCUGAAUGUGAUGACAAACAUGUUGGAGCCAAUAUCGAAAUUUUCCAGCUUUCAGAUGGAUUUUAUUAUUUACAUUCUUUCGCCGUAGUGUGUGUCAUGAAACAUUCAUUUACAGUGCAUUUAUUAAUUUGACACACAUUUUUACAUAUACAAUCACUCAAAAGUAUAAUUUACUGUAAAAUUUGGGCUGUUCAGGGGCCAAACAGAGGCACACUGGGAUUCGAUCUCAUGACCUUCUGGUUGCUAGUGCACAAGCAUAUGCCAUUGUGACAUGUAUAAACCUAACACUGCACAAAAAGGUUUACAAAUUUCAAUGCGGUUAUAUACAAUCUUAAAAUUUAAGCGCAUUUGUUCAAGGACCAAACAGAGGUUUGUCUGGGAUUUGUCCUCACAACCUUCUGGUCACUAUUGUAAAGCCUAAUGCCCUUUUGACAUAAAGUAAGAAACAAGGUUUACAAUAUACGUGGAGUAAAUACAGUACAGCUCUUGGAGUUAAGAGAGUUUGUUCAAGGGUAAAACAGAGGCUCACUGGGAUUUGACCUCACAACCUACAGGUCGCUAGUGCAGAGCCAUUUUGCACCAUUUUGACAUAUAUACAUCUAAUACCAUGCAAAAGGGUUACACAUCUCAGCAGGGCUAUGUACAAUCCUAGGACUUAGGGGGGUUUGUUCAAGGGCUAAACCGAGGUUUCUCUUGGAUCUGACCUCACAGCCGUCUGGUGACUAUUCCGAAGCUUAAUGCCCUUUUGACCCCACACACAAGGUUUACAAUAUAAGGGGGCUAAAUACAAUUUUAUGAGUUAAGAGAGUUUGUUCAAGAGUUAAACAAAGGCCCAAUGGGAUUUGACCUCACAGUCUUAUGGUCACUAUUGCAGAGCCUUAUGUACAUUUGACAUAUAAUAGGUUUACAAUAUAAGUGGGGCUGUAAACAGUCCUAAGAGUUAAGGAAUUUUAUUCAAGGGAAGAACAGAGACACGCUGAGAUUUGAGCUCACAACCUUACGGUCAGUAGUACAGAGCCAUAACCGCUGAGCAGUCACUCCCUUACAAUCUGUAACGACUCCUGCAUUUCUGUCAGUGAGUGAGUAAGCAAAUCAGUGAGAGUCUUUCAGGCACUACAGAUUGUCUGGACAUGCUAGGCUACGUAGACUUACUCUUCUAAUUUCAGUGAAAAAAGGGAGGAGACUUCAACUAUUAAUCUUUUUUUGUUCUCUCUCAAGCUAACCAUUCAAACCGUUUCCCAUCAAUCCUGGUGGUGAGCAUUCCAUUUAUUUCCAGAGUGAAAGUAAAGAUGUAGACGUCCCUGUUGCGGACAGAGCGGUUGUAUUUGAGAUUUACGGCUAGAACGACGGCGCAUGUGUUAUGGAAAACAGAUAUACAGGGAGACGAGAGUGGCACUGGAUGAAUGUAUCUCCAGGGCAUAGCUGCCAGAGCUGAGCAUCAGCUACUGAAGAAGCACUUAAUAAAAAACACAUACACACACACACACACACACACACACACACACACACACACACACAGAGGCAGCUAUUGGGUCUGUCCUAACCUGCACAGCUAUCGCACAAACUGAAAAUAAAGAUAAAAAACAAAUGUUACACAUGUGCCACUUCCUAACCUAAUAUCAGAUAUCAGGUGUUAAAAAAGGCUGUAAAAGUAGGAGAGGAUGAAAGCUUGAGAAUGAAGGCCAUUAAUGGGAAGCAUUCUCAUUCACUGCAGUGAUAAUGUUAUCCAGAGCAGGUCUCAGAACUGGGUCUGGACUUUCUCUUCCUUUGGACAGGAGAAAACAAAAAAAGAGCGGGAGAGAAAGAGAGAGAGAGAGCAGGGCCACCCAAACCUGUAAGAUCUACACGAUGAUGUCUGAUAGUCCCUUCACACGGUGGCUCUGGUGCUUGAUCUGAAAAUUCCAAAUAUCAGAAACACGUGUGCUGAGUUGCAACAGCAUUCCUGCACUGAUUGUGAAUCGAUAAGCUUGUGCAACUAAUUUCCUUUUCUGUGCUGUAAUUCCCCCGCCUUGUUCGGAGAGAAUGUUGAACUUGGCCUUUUUCCACAGGGUGUGUUGAUGAGUGGGAUGCUGCUAAUCCACACUGAUGCUGAACAAGGGAUCACAGAUAUAUCAUUGUUUAAUCAAGGCUUUGU